CCUACGGGCGGCAGCAGUGAGGAAUAUUGGUCAAUGGACGAGAGUCUGAACCAGCCAAGUAGCGUGAAGGAUGACUGCCCUAUGGAUUGUAAACUUCUUUUAUCUGGGAAUAAAAUGUUCCACGUGUGGGAGUUUGUAUGUACCAUAUGAAUAAGGAUCGGCUAACUCCGUGCCAGCAGCCGCGGUAAUACGGAGGAUCCGAGCGUUCUCCGGAUUUAUUGGGUUUAAAGGGAGCGUAGGUGGAUUGUUAAGUCAGUUGUGAAAGUUUGCGGCUCAACCCUAAAAUUGCAGUUGAAACUGGCAGUCUUGAGUACAGUAGAGGUGGGCGGAAUUCGUGGUGUAGCGGUGAAAUGCUUAGAUAUCACGCAGAACUCCGAUUGCGAAGGCAGCUCACUGGACUGCAACUGACACUGAGGCUCGAAAGUGUGGGUAUCAAACAGGAUUAGAUACCCGAGUAGUC
RNAcentral lists this ribosomal RNA (460 nucleotides) under uncultured bacterium. Its description in RNAcentral is "partial 16S ribosomal RNA". It matches the Rfam family "Bacterial small subunit ribosomal RNA", at positions 338 to 795 of the family's 1533-position model. The record is from RNAcentral.